Molecule: small nuclear RNA, 103 nt
Organism: Cynocephalus volans (Philippine flying lemur)
Lineage: Eukaryota; Metazoa; Chordata; Mammalia; Dermoptera; Cynocephalidae
Source: RefSeq, a predicted model, not a curated record
UCGCUUCAGAAGCGCAUAUACUAAAACUGGAAUAAUACAGAGAUGAUUAGUUUAGCCCCCACACAAGGAUGACACACAAAUUCGUGAAGCAUUCCACAUUUUU